Long non-coding RNA from Solanum pennellii, 361 nucleotides. RefSeq lists it as uncharacterized. The transcript is spliced from 2 exons. The record is from RefSeq and is a predicted model, not a curated record. NCBI's taxonomy places the organism in Eukaryota, Viridiplantae, Streptophyta, Magnoliopsida, Solanales, Solanaceae.
CUUGUUGGUUCAUUGCCAUUUAUUUACAGCCAUGUUCUAUGGGAUUUGCUACUGGUGGAAAAACAUUCUUUCUGUGGGGAGGAUGCAUGAUGAUGCAUGCGAACAAUUUUAGAACCGACCGCCAUUGUGUAGUGUCAGGGCUUCGAGAUGGGGGCUACUCAGAUGACAUGACUCUAGCAGCUAUAGCAGGUAAAGCUUACCUCCAGUUUCUCAUUCCUAAAUAAAUAUUACGGCACAAGAGUGGCAAUGUAGCUGGUGCGUAUCCUCCUUGAUGCUGUUGUGAUAGUCGAAAUUCAUGGAAAAUAGAAUUUUGAGUCAUUUUCUUAUUCUACAACUUAUGACAUUUUAAGAAUUGUCCUUA